This 169-nucleotide ribosomal RNA is filed under the name uncultured bacterium. RNAcentral describes it as "partial 16S ribosomal RNA". It matches the Rfam family "Bacterial small subunit ribosomal RNA", at positions 338 to 524 of the family's 1533-position model. The record is from RNAcentral.
CCUACGGGAGGCAGCAGUGGGGAAUUUUGGGCAAUGGGCGAAAGCCUGACCCAGCAACGCCGCGUGAAGGAUGAAGUAUUUCGGUAUGUAAACUUCGAAAGAAUAGGAAGAAUCAAUGACGGUACUAUUUAUAAGGUCCGGCUAACUACGUGCCAGCAGCCGCGGUAAU